This 311-nucleotide ribosomal RNA is filed under the name uncultured eukaryote. RNAcentral describes it as "partial 18S ribosomal RNA". It matches the Rfam family "Eukaryotic small subunit ribosomal RNA", at positions 1470 to 1796 of the family's 1831-position model. The record is from RNAcentral.
CCCUUAGAUGUUCUGGGCUGCACGCGCGCUACACUGAUGCGUUCAACGAGUGUAUCACCUUGCCCGAUAGGGUUGGGUAAUCUUUUGAACACGCAUCGUGAUGGGGAUAGAUUAUUGCAAUUAUUAAUCUUCAACGAGGAAUUCCUAGUAAUGAUGAAUCAUCAGUUCAUCGUGAUUACGUCCCUGCCCUUUGUACACACCGCCCGUCGCUACUACCGAUUGAAUGGUUUAGUGAGGCCUUCGGAUCCGCGACUCGUUUUGUGGAGAAGUUGGACAAACUCAGUCAUUUAGAGGAAGUAAAAGUCGUAACA